UGCACUCCAUAGGACUGGGCCUUGGU
This 26-nucleotide non-coding RNA is filed under the name Homo sapiens (human). The record is from RNAcentral. Lineage: Eukaryota; Metazoa; Chordata; Mammalia; Primates; Hominidae.